RNAcentral lists this ribosomal RNA (468 nucleotides) under uncultured bacterium. RNAcentral's name for it is "partial 16S ribosomal RNA". It matches the Rfam family "Bacterial small subunit ribosomal RNA", at positions 28 to 507 of the family's 1533-position model. The record is from RNAcentral.
GACGAACGCUGGCGGCGUGCUUAACACAUGCAAGUCGAACGGAAAGGCCCUGCUUUUGUGGGGUGCUCGAGUGGCGAACGGGUGAGUAACACGUGAGUAACCUGCCCUUGACUUUGGGAUAACUUCAGGAAACUGGGGCUAAUACCGGAUAGGAGCUCCUGCUGCAUGGUGGGGGUUGGAAAGUUUCGGCGGUUGGGGAUGGACUCGCGGCUUAUCAGCUUGUUGGUGGGGUAGUGGCUUACCAAGGCUUUGACGGGUAGCCGGCCUGAGAGGGUGGACGGCGACAUUGGUACUGAGAGACGGCGCAGACUCGUACGGGAGGCAGCGGUGGGGAAUAUUGCACAAUGGGCGGAAGCCUGAUGCAGCAGCGCCGCGUGCGGGAUGACGGCCUUCGGGUUGUAAACCGCUGUCGCCUGUGACGAAGCGUGAGUGACGGUAAUGGGUAAAGAAGCACCGGCUAACUACGUG